RNAcentral lists this ribosomal RNA (501 nucleotides) under uncultured bacterium. RNAcentral's name for it is "partial 16S ribosomal RNA". It matches the Rfam family "Bacterial small subunit ribosomal RNA", at positions 30 to 523 of the family's 1533-position model. The record is from RNAcentral.
AUUGAACGCUGGCGGCAGGCUUAACACAUGCAAGUCGAGCGGGGGAAGGUAGCUUGCUACCGGACCUAGCGGCGGACGGGUGAGUAAUGCUUAGGAAUCUGCCUAUUAGUGGGGGACAACAUCUCGAAAGGGAUGCUAAUACCGCAUACGUCCUAUGGGAGAAAGCAGGGGAUCUUCGGACCUUGCGCUAAUAGAUGAGCCUAAGUCGGAUUAGCUAGUUGGUGGGGUAAAGGCCUACCAAGGCGACGAUCUGUAGCGGGUCUGAGAGGAUGACCCGCCACACUGGGACGGAGACACGGCCCAGACGCCUACGGGAGGCAGCAGUGGGGAAUAUUGGACAAUGGGGGGAACCCUGAUCCAGCCAUGCCGCGUGUGUGAAGAAGGCCUUAUGGUUGUAAAGCACUUUAAGCGAGGAGGAGGCUACUUUAGUUAAUACCUAGAGAUAGUGGACGUUACUCGCAGAAUAAGCACCGGCUAACUCUGUGCCAGCAGCCGCGGUAA